Quercus robur (English oak) is the source of this 475-nucleotide long non-coding RNA. RefSeq lists it as uncharacterized. NCBI's taxonomy places the organism in Eukaryota, Viridiplantae, Streptophyta, Magnoliopsida, Fagales, Fagaceae. The record is from RefSeq and is a predicted model, not a curated record. The transcript has 3 exons.
CUCUUUCUCUCUCAUCGAUCCUCUCUCUAUUUGUAGGAAUCGUUUUUCUCUUCGCGCCAUUUUCAGUGAGGAGGAGAGUUAAUGCCGACGCAAGGAAAAAGGGCUUUCCAUUGUCUCCAAUCAAAACCCAUUUCAGAUUUCAACUGUUACUGUAGAAUUGCGUUAUGGGGAUGCCUUAAGACUGCUGUAUAUGGUAGAGGAAGCAUCCAAAGGGGAUUCAAUGACAUUUGUGGCAGUGGGGGGAGCUCAUCUACUAACUAGAACACACCUUGGUUAGCAUUUUAUUUUCUUGCCUAAUAAGCAAUGUUUAUUAACCUCUCAUUGGCUUGGAUAUUUGUGGAAUUUUGAGGUCUUACAAACAUUUUUUAGUUGCAAAUGGUUUAGGCCCUCUUGGAUAUUCUCUAGAUUUUAUUUUGGACUAUUGAGGUACUAUAUUUCUUUGUCUAUCUUUAUUUGAUUCUAGUUGUUUGGGUCA